RNAcentral lists this ribosomal RNA (638 nucleotides) under Lichtheimia corymbifera. RNAcentral's name for it is "eukaryotic LSU rRNA". It matches the Rfam family "Eukaryotic large subunit ribosomal RNA", at positions 72 to 634 of the family's 3401-position model. The record is from RNAcentral. Lineage: Eukaryota; Fungi; Mucoromycota; Mucoromycetes; Mucorales; Lichtheimiaceae.
UGAUUCCCCUAGUAACGGCGAGUGAAGAGGGAAAAGCUCAAAGUUGGAACCUGGCUGUCUUAGAUAGUCCGGAUUGUAAACUAAAGAGCGUGAAUCCAGGCAAGCCGGUUGAUCAAGUCCUUUGGAAUGAGGCGCCACUGAGGGUGAGAGCCCCGUAAAUCGACUGAGCAUUUGUCUUUUGUGUUUCGCGUUCAAAGAGUCAGGUUGUUUGGGAAUGCAGCCUAAAGCUGGUGGUAAAUCCCACCUAAAGCUAAAUACAGGCGAGAGACCGAUAGCGAACAAGUACCGUGAGGGAAAGAUGAAAAGUACUUUGAAAAGAGAGUUAAACAGUAUGUGAAAUUGCCAAGAGGGAAGCAUUUGGAGUUAGACUGACUUGGAGUUAAUCAGCUUGGUCUUUGGACUGGGUGUACUUGACUUCUAUGUCUGCCAAUAGCAGUUAGUCCUGGUGGAAAAAACUGAAGGGAAGGUAGUCCUUCGGGAUGUUUAUAGACCUUUGGAAAAUACACUGGGAUUGACUGAGGAAUGCAGUAGAUGCUAUUAAGGCUUCGUCUAGUAGGUGUUAGGUGAAGGUACUUGGUAUUUUCAGCUUGCUGAUGUGCUAGGUUACUUGAGCUUAAUUGCUUGCUAGAACUGUAAUC